Non-coding RNA from Hemiscyllium ocellatum (epaulette shark), 417 nucleotides. The record is from the annotation of a RefSeq genome assembly. Lineage: Eukaryota; Metazoa; Chordata; Chondrichthyes; Orectolobiformes; Hemiscylliidae.
AUGUUACCUGGAGCUCUUUGUUUACUCCUCUCAACUAUAGGUCUUCUCACUGGACUUUGUCAUGGCGAUUCUGUCUCACAAACUCCGCCUGAAAUCACAGUAAACGAGGGUGAUGAUGCCCUGUUGUUCUGUAAGUACUCUACAAUAAACAGCAAUCCUAAUCUGUUCUGGUACCGUCAACCUUCCAACGGGUCCAUGAAUUUUCUGCUGCAGAUAAACCAAUAUAGCCAGAAAACGAGUUUUCUAUCAGACAAGCUCUCCUGGGACUUUGACCAUGUGAACCGCACUAUGCAGCUGAAGGUUUUGAAAACAGUACUCACAGACACUGCAGUGUAUUACUGCGCACUGAGUCCCACAGAGACUCAGAACUGGGCUGACCGUGUACAAAAACUCUCGGAGGAUCUAGGCAAACAGUGA